Long non-coding RNA from Cornus florida, 946 nucleotides. RefSeq lists it as uncharacterized. NCBI's taxonomy places the organism in Eukaryota, Viridiplantae, Streptophyta, Magnoliopsida, Cornales, Cornaceae. The transcript has 3 exons. The record is from RefSeq and is a predicted model, not a curated record.
AGGAAUGCCCCAGAUUGGCAAUGUCUAGAGCCUUUGGGGACUACUUUAUUAAGGAUUUUGGACUUAUAUCCGUCCCUGAAGUGAGGUGUUGUCACAUAUAACCAGCAGAGACCAAUUUGUUGUGUUGCGAACCGAUGAGUCUUCCCGCUAGGGGCUGGGAAGAGAUAACAACGGGAGCGUCGAUUGCAUGGCUAUCAAGUACAUCAAAUUUGAAUUGGACACAAAAAUGUCGCGAUUCCCUCUCUCCGAUCAGAAACUUCGAAGGCAAAAUUUGUGCGAAAAAGUAUGUGUUUCCAUCUGCUUGUGUGUGUUUAUGUAUGUUCGCCAACCAAUUGAUAUUUUCGGCUUUCUGUUUCGUUGCAAUGAAUUCAAGAAAACGAGAAAAGUUUAAAUUCUUUUAGCUUUUCUAUCGAAUUCCUUUUGAUUUUCUUUCUUUUGUUUGUCUUCGUGAAUUUGUUAGACUUUUGGAUUUACUGUGAACUACGGUUUCUUCGUCUACUAUUUGAAUGUUUCUUUUUUUUAGACGAUAUCUAGUGUUGUUUGCAAUAUCUUUAGAUUUUUGUGGUUGAUGUUCCCAUUAAUUUCUUGGAUUUUGAUUUUUUUUCACGUAAGGGUUUCUUUAGCAUAUUUGGAUGGUUUAUUGUCUACGAAUAUGAGUUUUCAGGAAUUUAGGGUUUAUUUGUUCAACUUGUAUAGAUUCUGCACGACUAGAAUUUUUGACAUCAUUAGAUAAUUUUUUAAGUCAUAGUCCUGUAGGUUUCUUGGUUUGGAUUUCCAUGGGAUUCAACAUGAAGAUUCAGGGAAAACACACUCAAUAUGUUUUUGUUUCUAUUUGUAUAAAUUUGGAUUUACGUAGUUCUUUCUUUAUUCAGAGAAAUAGACCCAAUAAAGUUUAAAUAAUCAAUAGGUCCCAUAAUCUCUUGAGAGAGGUGCAAUGAGAUUGUGA